Molecule: ribosomal RNA, 480 nt
Filed under: uncultured eukaryote
Lineage: Eukaryota
Description: bacterial SSU rRNA
Rfam family: Eukaryotic small subunit ribosomal RNA
Source: RNAcentral
GUAAUUCCAGCUCCAAUAGCGUACGUUAAAGUUGCUGCAGUUAAAAAAGCUCGUAGUUGAACGUUCGGGUUCCGCGGGACGGGGCCGCCCCGCGAGGGACGGCGCCGCCCCGGGGCUCGUGAUAUCUUAUCUCGCCGCCCGUCGCGAGGCGGACGGAGGGAUGGAUGAGGUUACCUGGAAAAAAUCGGGGCGAUCUAGGCGGGCGAACCUCGCCAACGAACGAUCGGACAUGGGAUAACGGAAGAGGGCGUCGGCUCGGACUUCGUCGGUUCCUCGGGGCCGAGGCACGUACGGUGAAUAGGGACGGUCGGGGCCGCCCGUACCGGGUCGUGAGAGGUGAAAUUCUAGGAUCGACCCCGGAGACGGAACUGCCGCGAAAGCAUUCGGCAAGGACGCUUUCAUUAAUCAAGACGAAAGUCGGGGGAUCGAAGACGAUCAGAUACCGUCGUAGUCCCGACCGUAAACGAUGCCGACCGAGGG